GCUCCCGGGCGCCGGCGGCCGCCGCCGAUGACGCACGCCGAGCUCCUGCGCAUGCGCACUUGGCUCCCUCCAGGGUUUCUGCGCCCAGUAGGAGCAGAAGGGGAGGGCCUGCCGGGGGCGCCUGCCGGGCGGGCUGCAAUUCGGAACCUCCCCAGCUCCGCAGCCCUACGGUUCCCCUAGGGUUCUGACGCGGUCGUGGGACGGCUGGGCGCCGGGAAGCGCUCUGCAGUCGCUGUCAAGUCCUCUCCGGCCCAGCAGCCAGGGCGGAACCUCAGGCUUUACAGACGACCGCUGCUCGUUUUGGGGACAUUGAGGGGCACAGAGGUGUUCAGUGGAGGGCUCGGGGAUGCGCUUGGGCUGGCAGACUCAGGGAGUCCGGUGGACAGACUCUGGCGUCUUUGAGUCUUCAAGAACUGUCAGCGCUGCAGAGGUUUGCCUCCGUCCAGGAGUCCGCCAGAGCGCACGCCUUGACGUUUGGCAGUGCCCUUGCAGACGGGAGUGGCAUUGCAUAUAGCCCCAGAAUGCCGUAAGGAGGUCUGGGAUAGUGCCGGGAGCAGGAGCUCCGCCCGUGGCAAAGGUCGUGAGGAAGGAGGCUCAGCAUACACAAAGGCGGGAUCGAGCCUCAGGAGUCCCCCUGGAAAUUCUCGAGCAUCUACCCCCCAAACCAGAGUCUGCCUACUUUCUGCUUUGUGCUUUCACCUACACCUCUGACUUUAUGGGGGGCUGUCCCCCACUACCUCUCUGAAAAAAGAGUUAACUUACAGCUCCAGUUAAUAAAAUUCCUGGGUGUGCUAGUGUUUCAACCUACAAACUCCUUUGGAAGUCCUCUAGCCUGCCUGAAUAGGUUUUUCCGGCCACAUGUGAUUGUUCAGAGCCUCCUAACUGUGAGAGGCAUGAGAUGUUCUAAACUGUCUAAAUACAGAUUCCUUUGAGCAGUUAAAAGAUUGAUUAGAAAUUGUAUUGGUGAAGGGUUUUUCACUUGUUGGGCCAAUGUUUGCUGCUAAGUUUCCAUAUCCCUUACUUGCUGUGUCCCUGGCAGUGUAUUGAUUAAUAUAAUUGGUGUAAGUAGUAGCUUUAAUGUUUGUAACCUUGGACCCUUGAGUUAAUUCUUUUUCUUGUUAUAGCCCACCACACCUUUGCCCUGUAGGAAUGCAACUUUAUCUAAUGCUUUUGGAGGGUCACUAAUCACCUUUAGAGAAAAAUAAGUUUUCUGAAGAAAGGGUCUUAAAAUGUUAACAGGCCUCCGGGCCAGAAGAUGAUGCAAAUCACCUAAACUUUUGCAUAUGAUAAGUUUGCAGGAAGAAAGCCUGGCUUACUGCAUGACUCUACCCCUUCCCCCAUUAUCCUCUAUGCAUAACUUAAGGUAUAAAAACUACUUUGGAAAAUAAAGUGCGGGCCUUGUUCACCGAAACUUGGUCUCCCCCUGUCGUUCUUUCUCUCACCUUCUGGCUGAAUUAUUCAGCCUCUUUUCUCCACUAAAUUUUCUCACUGAGCUAUCCUUAUUUAACCACUCUUUAUAUCCUUAAUUAACGUUUAAUUAAGCAAUUGUUUCCUGAUUCUCGCCGACGCCGUCCCCGCUUUGAAGUCCCUGGAUCCACCGGGGCUGGACCCCUGCAGGAUAGGUAUAUGAAAAGAUGCUCAGGCUCACUAAUCAUCAGGGAAG
This is a long non-coding RNA of Bos taurus (domestic cattle), 1663 nucleotides long. The record is from Ensembl. Lineage: Eukaryota; Metazoa; Chordata; Mammalia; Artiodactyla; Bovidae.